CAGCAGCCGCGGUAAUACGUAGGGGGCGAGCGUUGUUCNGAAUUACUGGGCGUAAAGCGUGCGUAGGUGGUGCGUUAAGUCUGUCGUGAAAGCCCCGGGCUCAACCUGGGAAUGGCGAUGGAUACUGGCGCGCUAGAGUGCGGUAGAGGAGAGUGGAAUUCCCGGUGUAGCAGUGAAAUGCGUAGAGAUCGGGAGGAACAUCAGUUGCGAAGGCGGCUCUCUGGACCAGCACUGACACUGAGGCACGAAAGCGUGGGGAGCAAACAGGAUUAGAUACCCUGGUAGUCCACGCCCUAAACGAUGCGAACUGGACGUUGGGAGCAACUAGGCUCUCAGUGUCGAAGCUAACGCGUUAAGUUCNCCGCCUGGGGAGUACGGUCGCAAGACUGAAACUCAAAGGAAUUGNCGG
Molecule: ribosomal RNA, 409 nt
Filed under: uncultured bacterium
Lineage: Bacteria
Description: bacterial SSU rRNA
Rfam family: Bacterial small subunit ribosomal RNA
Source: RNAcentral